GCUCACCUGGGAUCAUCUGAGCUCACCUGGUCCCCCCUGAGCUCACCUGGUCCCCUCUGAGCUCACCUGGGAUCAUCUGAGCUCACCUGGGAUCAUCUGAGCUCACCUGGUCCCACCUGAGCUCACCUGGGCUCACCUGGUCUCACCUGGGAUCAUCUGAGCUCACCUGGGAUCAUCUGAGCUUACCUGGUCCCCCCUGAGCUCACCUGGGCUCACCUGGGCUCACCUGGUCCCCCCUGAGCUCACCUGGUCCCCCCUGAGCUCACCUGGGCCGUGUCGUGUCCCAGAUUCCGUGGAGGACGUGCUCGCGGAUCUCCUGGGAUUCGAUGAGGAUCCUCCCGUUCCCCUUUCCUGCGGAUCCCGACUCACCUGCGCCCAGGUGAGCUCCAGGUGAGUGCUCAGCCCCUCCCACCCCCAUCCCACUCCCUGAUCCCAACCCCCUGAUCCCAGCCCCAUGAUCCCAAUCCUUGAUCCCAACUCCUGAUCCCAAACCCCUGAUCCCAAACCCCUGAUCCCACUCCCGUGAUCCCAAUCCUUGAUCCCAAACCCCUGAUCCCAAUCCUUGAUCCCAAUCCCUGAUCCCAAACCCUGAUCCCAAACC
Molecule: long non-coding RNA, 601 nt
Filed under: Manacus vitellinus (golden-collared manakin)
Lineage: Eukaryota; Metazoa; Chordata; Aves; Passeriformes; Pipridae
Description: lncRNA (ENSMVIG00005004094.1)
Source: RNAcentral